ACACUCCUACGGGAGGCAGCAGUGGGGAAUUUUGGACAAUGGGCGAAAGCCUGAUCCAGCAAUGCCGCGUGUGUGAAGAAGGCCUUCGGGUUGUAAAGCACUUUUGUCCGGAAAGAAAUCCUUGGCUCUAAUACAGUCGGGGGAUGACGGUACCGGAAGAAUAAGCACCGGCUAACUACGUGCCAGCAGCCGCGGUAAUACGUAGGGUGCGAGCGUUAAUCGGAAUUACUGGGCGUAAAGCGUGCGCAGGCGGUUUGCUAAGACCGAUGUGAAAUCCCCGGGCUCAACCUGGGAACUGCAUUGGUGACUGGCAGGCCAGAGUAUGGCAGAGGGGGGUAGAAUUCCACGUGUAGCAGUGAAAUGCGUAGAGAUGUGGAGGAAUACCGAUGGCGAAGGCAGCCCCCUGGGCCAAUACUGACGCUCAUGCACGAAAGCGUGGGGAGCAAACAGGAUUAGAUACCCUGGUAGUCCCA
Molecule: ribosomal RNA, 473 nt
Filed under: uncultured organism
Description: partial 16S ribosomal RNA
Rfam family: Bacterial small subunit ribosomal RNA
Source: RNAcentral